Long non-coding RNA from Oncorhynchus tshawytscha (Chinook salmon), 487 nucleotides. NCBI's taxonomy places the organism in Eukaryota, Metazoa, Chordata, Actinopteri, Salmoniformes, Salmonidae. The record is from Ensembl.
GGUCUAUGGUGAUAGAUGGGAUGGGCUGAGAGGGUGGUCUAUGGUGAUAGAUGGGAUGGGCUGAGAGGGUGGUCUAUGGUGGUAGGUGGGAUGGGCUGAGAGGGUGGUCUAUGGUGAUAGAUGGGAUGGGCUGAGAGGGUGGUCUAUGGUGAUAGAUGGGAUGGGCUGAGAGGGUGGUCUAUGGUGAUAGAUGGGAUGGGCUGAGAGGGUAGUCUAUGGUGAUAGAUGGGAUGGGCUGAGAGGGUGGUCUAUGGUGAUAGGUGGGAUGGGCUGAGAGGGUGGUAUAUGGUGAUAGAUGGGAUGGGCUGAGAGGGUGGUCUAUGGUGAUAGGUGGGAUGGGCUGAGAGGGUGGUCUAUGGUGGUAGAUGGGAUGGGCUGAGAGGGUGGUCUAUGGUGAUAGAUGGGAUGGGCUGAGAGGGGGGUCUAUGGUGAUAGAUGGGAUGGGCUGAGAGGGUGGUCUAUGGUGAUAGGUGGGAUGGGCUGAGAG